UCACGUGAGGUUUGAAUAUGUGACACUUUAUGUGAGUGUCUUUAUUUGUGGAAAGGGUGUUUGUCUUACCAGUGGGUCCAAACUUACACACACCAAAUCCAUCUGUGCUCAUAUGAGACAGUGUGAAGGACGCCCUCUGCAGUGCUUACAGUGACACUUGUUGAGGGGCUGCCUUCUGUCGCCAUCGUGUGGCAUUACUGUCUUCAGACAUCUCUUGAUCUCUUUGACUACUGCAUGAAAAUUGUAAUACGCCUUGCCGGUGGCGGAUUUAAAGGCGAGGAGAGGAGCUGAUGUUAUUGGUCAAUACAGGUCUCGGCUGUGUUAAACCCACCCCACGCCCUCUCUCCUCCCUCGCUAGGACUUACACCGCUGGGAGGAGCUGAGUUAGGGAGGGGGGAUACUUACGCCGGGUUGUGCUGCUCACCAAAAUACCAAAUUGUGCUUUGGAACGCCCUUGUCGGCGCGGGGGACCUGACUUACGCUGCGCAUGCACCGCGUCGCCGGUGAGGCACGAAAAUAGAGCCCUAUGUCUGCAGACAAACUGGUGAACGUCUGAAAGCACCAUGUGUUACACCCACAAUUCAGCAUGGAGGUGGUAGUUCCAUGGUAUGGGGAUGUUUUGCAGGUGAUGGAGUAGAAGAUUUGUUUGAAGUAAAGGGUAUCAUGAAGAAGGAACAGUACCACUCCAUCCUCCAGCACCAUGCUGUUCCAUCUGGACUCAGACUUGUGGGUCAUAAGUUUGUUUUGCAGCAAGACAAUGACCCUAAGCACUCUGCCAAGCUCUGUUAGGGUUACCUAGACAAAAAAGAAGAGGAAGGUGUUCUUCAAAAUGAUUUGGCCCCCUCAGUCUCCACACCUUCCUCCAAUUGAGCUUGUGCAGGAUGAAUUGGAUCGAUCGGUCAGAAAAGUGCAUCCCAUGAAUCAGCAGUCUCUUUUUAAUGAAGUUAAUAAAGCUUGGAAUGCAAUCCCUGGAACAUACCUUAAAAAACGCCAAUAUGCCAAGCUGUUGUUAAAGCCAGAGGAGGUUACUUUAAAGAAAGCAAUAGUGUUUAUUGUGUUGCAAAUUAUAUGAAACUAUGGUCUUUUUUUGUACAAAUUUGAUCUUGCUUCCAAACUUUUGGAACAACAUAACAUAAGUGCUCCAGGCCUGUAGGAGAGCUCAGAUUACUGAAUGUUUAAGUACGUUUUCAUCACCUCUGCCUAUUGCUUGAGGACCUGCACUCUUCAUUAUGUUGUCUGACUGUAAGAGGAUUUAACAGGACAGAACAGGGAAACUAGCUGAACCUGCAUCCUUCAAUCUGCAGAGCGACCCUGCUGCUUAUUCUGAGUGUUAUUCAGACAUGUGCUGGUGUGAUUUGCCGCUUCUGCUACUCUGUUGCUUAUAAUAGAGUCGGCACUGUGGUGACUCACACCCUCUCAAGUCUGCACUUGCAAACAAUCACAGGCAAAGAGUGUGUACACAGUCAACACACUAAAACACAAAUACACAAACACACAAAGGCGUAUCUCUCCACAUAAACAGUGUGUGAGAGAAGCGGAUACACAGCUGUGAUUUACUUCAUUUUCCAUUUCUGCUCUCAGCAGAACUCCAGACGGCUGCAGACUCUCUCUCCUCACUUCAGAGCCUGUUUCUGGGUAUCUUUCUGGGUUUGGUGAGAUACGGUUGAGGUUAACAGCAAGCGAGGCUCCUGAGACAGUGGAGUAAACAGCAGUGAUUUACCUCUCUGUUAUCCUGCCCUGUAGUGGGUCAAAGUCGACGGGUCAGUGUGGCCUCUGGUCCCCCUCAGAGCGGCCUGCUGCCCGAGCCAAUUGUCCCAGAGUGGAAUGGAACAGGGAAGCAGCUGGAAGUGUGAGAACACACACCGUAUUUACAAUAGGAAAACACACACUCACACACACAAUAUGACAUCCUCUCAGCUUAUCAGGCCGCAUCUGUUUCCUGGAGUGCACAGCGGCUGACAAACUCCAUUCAGAUGAGUCGUUUUUCAUACGUGCUCAUCUUUCCCAAGUGAGUCACAGAGAGAACAGGUCCACUCAUUUAUAUCUCCUCACUCCAACAACUAUAAACAGUCUCAGGAUGUCCAGCAUGUCCUCGAUAGCCUCCAAACUCCACAGUAACAAUAGAGCGGCCAUUGUUGAUAUGUUAUCACAGUGCGGAUGUUAGACACCGGCACUAUGAGUUCACCCGUUUGUGGUUACUACACGUGCUCUCAGUGUUUAUAUGGAACCAAACUUAUGUGUAGUGAUACCUUUUUUUCCAAAGCAGGGGUUUAAAUGUGCAGCUUUGAGUUUUUAAAAAGAGGAAAACCCGCCUCUGAAAAAUACUAUACUUAAGUUUGGCAUGAUGACUUGCCACAGUCCCUUUCAGAGAAGCUGCACCUGAACUGUGCAGGUUUUUCCUGACUGUAAUUUUUCUGUCAUCAACGGUAAAAAACUGGUGGAUAAAGACGAAAAAAUGGUGGAAAUAUUUAUCAAAAACUCAUUUCAUGAAUUUUUGCUAAAUCUUGUUUUUUAUUGCUCUAACUUGAUCUGUAGCUUGCAGGGGUGAUCAGUCAGAAUGUAUAGAACUUCACAUUGCCUGUCCCAUUUGGUGCUGAGGGAAGUUCAGGAAGGUCCCAAAGGUUUGCAUAUUUGCUCUGUUUAGCUCUGCAUCAUUCAGUAAGAAUUUUUGCAACUAAGACUCUCAUCUGUUUGCUUUUUGCUCUCUGUGUGUGAGUUCCUUCCAUGCUGCACCUCAUCACUACAAACUAGGGAUGAGAAGAUUAACCGAUACGUAUUGAUACGCGGUCAUGCAUUUGCAAGAUGCGGGUGCACCGGGAGAGCAGCUGAGAGUGAAUGCAGUUUUGAAUGCAUAUGGAGAUGUAUUUUUAUUAUAUGUUUUUAUCAAUACAAUCCAAUCAGUUUAAUACAUAACUUUUACUUUUACGUUACCAAACCAUUUUGAGGGCAUAAUGCCUUUGGAUGUACACUGCAAACUAAAAUAUCAGCUCUGCGGAUGAACUACAUGUGCCACGGACAAAUACUAGCAGUGAGAAGGAGUGUGAGGAGUAAGGUAAACCAAUAUUUCUUUAUUUAUUCCUUUGCUGUUGUUCAUGUUUAAUGUUGCUUUGUUGAUUUUUAACUGUUUGAUGAUUAAUGAUUUUGAUUGUUAAUAGUGUUUUAUUAUUGUUUUUAUAUGUUCUGUAAAGUGUCCUUGUGUGACGUGAAAGGCGCUUCAAAUAAAAUGUAUUAUUAUUAUUAUUAAUAUGUCAGACACUAAGCAAAUUUACCCUCCUCUGAGUUGUAAAUCUAAAGUUUGGCAACACUAUGGGUUUUACAAAAAAGACAGAUGACUUGACAAGACAGAUUUGCAAAAUGUGCUGCCCUGCUGUAAAAUACACAAACAGUACGACUAACCUGAUAACUCACUUGAAGUGGCACCACAGUGUUGUCGUGGAGGGGUCUGCUAGCGCCCUCACCUCCCCUGCUUCCAGCUCAGAUUUGCCUGCAGCCGGCAGCUCCAAAAGUGGUGAGCAAAGUAUUGCAAGUUUCUUCCAUGCCCUGCUUGAAAUAACAAAUGCUUUUGCAUUAUUUAUUUGCAAAGAUAUUCAGCAUUACUGUGUCACAGAAAACAAAGGUUUCAAACACCUCCUCCAAGUCUUGGAGCCUCGGUAUAAAAUACCAAAUCUACAGCUAUUCUCCAAAAAGUAGAUCCCUGCCCUUUACAACAAAGUUAGAAGAUAGAUGGCGGGCUCACUGAAAAGCCCAAGGAUACGCUUUGUAUUGUGAUUUCGGUGUGAAUCCUAUCGUAUUGCACCGCAUAAUGGCACAUAUGUAUCUUUCAUAUAUUGGAUCAGAGACAUUGUAUCAAGAUGUGUAUCAUAUCUGCCUUAUACCUAAGAUGCCGGACCCUACGAUAGACCCAACACAAGAGCAAACUGCACAGAGUACAGGCUUUAUAUGUAGAGCUUUGACACUAAUAAAACGUUCCCAUAGGUGCAGCUGCCAUUGGUGCUGGUGAAACUAUGAUGAGAGUAGAAGAGACUGAAACACACUUACUGUACCAAAAAGAGGUCAAAGAUUCCCUAGGUGGGUCGGGUCCACAGCAGAACAGAUUGUCAUGUUGAUUUAAAGCAGAUACGCGGUUAGAAAAAGUUCAGUGACUCUCAAGUUAGUUACGUUUGUCUCGCUGUUCCUUCCUUCCUCAACUGAUCUGGCACAGGAUGCUGCUGCAGCUUGCAUCUGUCAAUCAUGAUGGAAAAUCUGCCAUUUUUAAAACUCAGUAACCAUAAAUACAACAAUUCUCUGAGAAAUAAACUCGGACAUUAAUCUGCAUAUGAAGAACAAUCUGGAAUGUUACCAUGAAACCGUGUUUGAGAAAAUUUGACAUGAACCAUAAUUUUAUCAUUGGCCAUCGUCUCAUCUGCAACCAUCAACAAAGGCGCCAUUAAUGACCUUUGCUGCUACCAGUCAGCAGGAGGGGGGCUCUAGAUAUAUUGGCUUCAAACCAGACAGAUCCAUAGGGUGUUCUUUUUGCUACAAAUCGCCAUGUGCAUGUUUGCAUCUGAAAAACCUGUGGCCUGUUGCACUACCUUGCAUUCACUGAACCAUACUCUCAAAUUGUGAAGCUGUAGUUAAGCAAAUGGUUCAAAAAUUCAAGCCAGACAGACUGUUUCUAUAACGUCCAACAAAGGCAUCUUUCCAUAUAACUUGCCCUCUGACAUGUGGCCCACAAAUCAGUAGGUGUAGUAAAGAUAGGUAUAGAGAGGCAGUGGUGUAUGCAUUAAGAUAAAAUUCACCAGUUCCCAAGGUGACUUGUUACAGUGCAUUAAAGCAGGACUCUGCUGAAGAAAGUAAGAUGUUUGACUAAACCCCCACAAAAUCAAAACAAAACAAAAAAACUUAACCAGGUGUUUGUGUGGGGGGAUGAAAGGCUUGCGGUCAUGUUAAUUUGACCCCCUCUUUUAGUAUAAGAGUGAACGAUGACUGUCAGACUGAUAUAAGUUAUGCAAAUGAGAAAAUAUACCUGAUUCUGAGAAAAAAGCUUCAUACUUUUGCAUCUGGAACAUUUCUCCAUCGUGUGUCCUCAAACGUCUCCAGUUUCAUACUGAGUUGCUCUCACAGCUUUGAAACCUUUGUUUUUCUGCUCUUGACAAAUUGAUUGUGAGUGGCUGAAACACGAGAGAACGGCAAGCGUUUAAGCGAAUCCUUCGUCCUGCAUUUGACCCAUAAACCUCUGUAGUUUAUAAUGGCAGCCUGUCUUCCUGCAGACGUCUCUUUGUUGUAGCUCUGUGCUGAAGUGUCCUGAACAACGCUGGCUGUAAUUGCUAAAAGGUAAUUGCACUGGCAGGUUACAGCGAGGCUUUAGCUCCCCUGAGCCGCACCCUGAUCCCUGCAUAAGGAUGUGAUUAACCGCCAUCUCUUGUCAUUAACUGUGAGUGCUGUUGGAAAGCAGGAGAAAGUAAUUGUCAUAUUAGAACGGUUGCUUGGUCAGAUCGAGUGUUGAAUACAGUCUGAAGAGAUUAAAGCACACGGCAGAAUUGACCAAAUUGUUGGUGCUUGUUCCUGCAUUGAAAUGUGACAGCUGAGCAGACGUGUAAUGCUCAAUUUGCCGCUCUGAUAAUAAAACCACGCACAGCAGCCAUGCAGGAAAAGAGUGUUUUUCCUGUGAAUGUGUCGAUAGCUCAGAGGCCAA
Non-coding RNA from Xyrichtys novacula (pearly razorfish), 5674 nucleotides. Lineage: Eukaryota; Metazoa; Chordata; Actinopteri; Labriformes; Labridae. The record is from the annotation of a GenBank genome assembly.